RNAcentral lists this ribosomal RNA (91 nucleotides) under Streptomyces sp. SID5914. Lineage: Bacteria; Bacillati; Actinomycetota; Actinomycetes; Kitasatosporales; Streptomycetaceae. The record is from RNAcentral.
GCCCGGUUACAUUUCGAACCCGGAAGCUAAGCCUUACAGCGCCGAUGGUACUGCAGGGGGGACUCUGUGGGAGAGUAGGACGCCGCCGAAC